This 304-nucleotide long non-coding RNA is filed under the name Pan troglodytes (chimpanzee). RNAcentral describes it as "long non-coding RNA NONPTRT016404". The record is from RNAcentral. Lineage: Eukaryota; Metazoa; Chordata; Mammalia; Primates; Hominidae.
UAUCAGUUGAUACACGUUAAACAUAGAUUGAUACAUUUGUUUCUUUAUAUGUACUGAUUGCUUGAUGAAAUUGUCAUGAGCAGAGUCUCCCAGGAACCUAACCCCUAUUUUCCCUAUGAGCAAUGGUUCACUUCCCACUGCGUCCCUCCCAUGACACAUGGGAACUGUGGGAGCUACAAUUCAAGAUGAGAUUUGGGUGGGGACACAGCCAAAUCACAUCAGCAGGGAACACAAUUCAACCCCAUAGCACUGGGGAUUCACUGGAGUUUCAUAAGGUUCCCAAGGACUCAUGGCGGUGACCAGA